RNAcentral lists this ribosomal RNA (1181 nucleotides) under uncultured organism. Its description in RNAcentral is "bacterial SSU rRNA". It matches the Rfam family "Bacterial small subunit ribosomal RNA", at positions 250 to 1427 of the family's 1533-position model. The record is from RNAcentral.
UGGUAAGGUAACGGCUUACCAAACCUACGACGGGUAGCUGGUCUGAGAGGACGGUCAGCCACAUUGGGACUGAGACACGGCCCAGACUCCUACGGGAGGCAGCAGCCGGGAAUAUUCGGCAAUGGGCGAAAGCCUGACCGAGCGACACCGCGUGAGCGACGAAGGCCUUCGGGUCGUAAAGCUCUUUUAUUUGGGAAGAAUGCAUAGUAAUAUGUUUGACGGUACCAUUUGAAUAAGCCCCAGCUAACUACGUGCCAGCAGCUGCGGUAAUACGUAGGGGGCAAGCGUUAUCCGGAAUCACUGGGCGUAAAGGGUCCGCAGGUGUCCCGUUAAGUUAGAUGUUAAAUCGCAAGGCUCAACCUUGCGGCUGCAUCUAAUACUGACAGGAUAGAGGAUAGGUGACGGAAGUGGAAUUCCUGGUGGAGAGGUAAAAUCCGUAGAUAUCAGGAGGAACACCCGUGGCGUAGGCGGCUUCCGAACCUAUUCCUGACACUCAGGGACGAAAGCUAGGGGAGCAAACAGGAUUAGAUACCCUGGUAGUCCUAGCUGUAAACGAUGAAUACUAGAUAGUGGAUGCUACACCGUACUCACCGUCGUAGCUAACGCGUUAAGUAUUUCGCCUGGGAACUACGAUCGCAAGUCUGAAACUCAAAGGAAUUGACGGGUCCCCGCACAAGCAGCGAGGCAUGUGGCUUAAUUCGAUGCAACACGAAGAACCUUACCUGGACUUGACAUGUUUCUGAAAGGCCGGAGAAACCCGGUCCCUUCCAGUUUACUGGAACAGUCUCACAGAUGGUGCAUGGUUGUCGUCAGCUCGUGUCGUGAGAUGUAAGGUUAAGUCCUUAAACGAGCGUAACCUUUGUCAUUAGUUGCCACCGGUUCGGCCGAGCACUCUAAUGAGACCGCUAGCGACAAGCUAGAGGAAGAUGGAGAUGACGUCAAAUCCUCACGUCCCUUAUGUCCAGGGCCGCACACAUGCGACAAUGGUAGAGACAGCGGGUUGCGACGGGGUAACCCUGAGCUAAUCCAUAAACUCUGCCUCAGUACAGAUCGAGGGCUGAAAUUCGACCUCGUGAAGAUGGAGUUGCUAGUAAACGCAGGUCAGCUAUACUGCGUUGAAUACGUUCCCGGGGAUUGUACACACCGCCCGUCACACCACCCGAGUCGUGUGCACCCGAAGU